RNAcentral lists this ribosomal RNA (497 nucleotides) under uncultured bacterium. Its description in RNAcentral is "partial 16S ribosomal RNA". It matches the Rfam family "Bacterial small subunit ribosomal RNA", at positions 29 to 507 of the family's 1533-position model. The record is from RNAcentral.
UAUGCACGCUGGCGGCGUGCCUAAUACAUGCAAGUCGAGCGAACAGAUGAGGAGCUUGCUCCUCUGACGUUAGCGGCGGACGGGUGAGUAACACGUGGAUAACCUACCUAUAAGACUGGGAUAACUUCGGGAAACCGGAGCUAAGACCGGAUAAUAUAUUGAACCGCAUGGUUCAAUAGUGAAAGACGGUGUUGCUGUCACUUAUAGAUGGAUCCGCGCCGCAUUAGCUAGUUGGUAAGGUAACGGCUUACCAAGGCAACGAUGCGUAGCCGACCUGAGAGGGUGAUCGGCCACACUGGAACUGAGACACGGUCCAGACUACUACGGGAGGCAGCAGUAGGGAAUCUUCCGCAAUGGGCGAAAGCCUGACGUAGCAACGCCGCGUGAGUGAUGAAGGUCUUCGGCUCGUAAAACUCUGUUAUUAGGGAAGAACAAAUGUGUAAGUAACUAUGCACGUCUUGACGGUACCUAAUCAGAAAGCCACGGCUAACUACGUG